Molecule: non-coding RNA, 73 nt
Organism: Stegodyphus mimosarum
Lineage: Eukaryota; Metazoa; Arthropoda; Arachnida; Araneae; Eresidae
Source: Rfam
GCCUUCGUGGUGUAGUGGUCAGCACUCUUGACCCAUAACCAAGAGGUCCAUGGUUCGAUUCCCGGCGAAGUCG